Molecule: non-coding RNA, 3438 nt
Organism: Lolium perenne
Lineage: Eukaryota; Viridiplantae; Streptophyta; Magnoliopsida; Poales; Poaceae
Source: RefSeq, a predicted model, not a curated record
GGCCAUGGCAUCAAUGCAGUGUUGACCAUGGACGUGGUGCGCAUGCGGCAGGAGGAUCACACGGCCAGGGUAGCCGACCUGCUGCCUCUUCCAUGGCCGAGGGAAGCUGCUUUUCUCUCUGCUCCACUUUGUAUUAGAUCGAUGUCCAAAAUUUUUGGAGAGCUCUUCUUGUGUUGUGCAUCAUCAUCUAGGAUUAUUUUCUCCCCUUUUGAGUUGUCCCUGUACACCUAUUUACAGAUUUGUGGUGUACCCUGGUUUGAACCAAGAUUGUUUUUUUUUGGGUAUAGAGGUCACCAUGUUGCAUUGGCAAACAGGUUGGGGAUUUGAUCAUUGCAGCAAGUGCGAGAAGGCUGAGUUCAUCAGCCUGGUAUGGCGCUACCUCUGCGGGAGGCAAAGCAUAUGGAGUGUUGUAAGAUCCAUACCGCACCGAUGAGAUGGUGAUUCUAGACGAAUCCUCUAACUGGUUGAUUAGGUCACACAUACAGGUCCAAGUUGUGGACAUUGUAGUGUUUGGUGGAACUGGCUGCAAAAAUGUGUCCCCAAAUAUUUUUUGUGGGCUGCAAUGUGUUUGUCAUGUCGAGGGUGUGGAGCUGGUGGUUGGUGGAACGCCUUGCUGGAUUGAGGUAUAUGCUGAUGAGAUUGGGCCAGGGAGAUGCUAUCAGGAAGGUGUCUAUUUCUUAGAUGAUCUGGCUUAUAAAAUUAUGUUACUGAAGAACUGUGAAGAUGCACCCUAUGUUGGCUUAUUUGGUUUGCCUCGGAUAAAAAAGCACCAGAGUCACCUUUGAGAGCUGCAGCAGCCGUCCACAGAUGACACUUAUUUCCGAAAACAGGUUUCUUACGAGGAAAAAAGGGGGACCCAGUGGUGAAAGCUUGCACACAUUGGGGUUUAGGGAAGCGAAUUUUUAGCAUCCUUUCCCUUCUUUUUUAUGCAAAGAGGCUGAUUCAAGCCAAGGACCUCGAGCACACAAGCGGAGAUACUCUACCACUGAUUCGAACUAAGGAGAACUAAUAAUUAACAUGUGCUCUUCUUCGACGCCUAAUCAAAUGUCUAUGAGUUAUGUUUGCUUCUGUUGAGGUCAUCUUGAGGUUGUAGGCAUGAGGAUAUUCUUCAAUGCAUGGAAAUUAUAAUGUGGGGGACCUCAAAGAAUGUUUCUCAAGGUAAUCCCAAUACUGACAUGUUUGCGCGAAGGGCUUUUCUAAUCCUGCUCGAUGGUCGAGAUCCCAUAGAGUAGAAUCAAGGUACAGAACAACCAUGCCAACAUAAUUUUCCCUAGAUAUUUAAUGGUCAAAAUUUCAAAAGGCUUGAACUUGAAUCUGUAGUUCACCUAUGUUUUGAAACAGAGGGAGUAAAUCAGUGAGAUUGGACAUAUUAAAAGUUUGUCUUGGUCUCUAGAGUUCCUUGUUCUGCGUAGUUGGUACCUUUGCUUGGGUGAUGCAUACAGAAACUCUUAAUCUAUUUUAUAGUCUAGCCUUUUGGAUUCAGCAAUAAAUUGCAUCUGAACCUGAUGAUCAUGAUACCAUAUAUUUGUCCCAUUCAUUUCCCUCUCUCUUCAUAUUCAGGCUGUACAAUUGAUAUGCAGUCUAGCCUGGAGUCUGGAUUUUGUACAGGUAUACUGUCCAUCCUGGUUCUAGUGAUUUGAUUUGGGAAACUCUUGAAGUUUGAUUCAUAUAUUGGUCCUGAGAAUUCUUCACCUGGCAUUCUGCAAUUGCUUCCAGCCAGGGAUUUCUACAAUCUGGAGAAGUCCAUACAUUUGAGUAUGCAAGAUCAAGCACUUCUGAUCAGCUUUGCAGUCUUCUCAGGUUCCCUGCGCCUUGCUUACUCCCCGAUUCGUCCAGUAUUCAUAAUUCGCUGUUUGCAAGCUGUAGAUCAACCAGAAAGCCUUUGUGCAGCCCAGCGACAGCCAUGGUCUGGGUUGCCAGGAGCUCCGAUGUGGCCAGCCGCGGCCGGGGAGAAGUCGCCGUCGUGGCCAGCCUCAGCCGAUCCCUCGGCAGUAGGCUGCAGCUUGGUCGCAGCCUCGGAACUGGUGCCGCCGGACGGAGAGCCGCCGCAUCGUCGCGCCUCUCCUUCUCGACCUAGCACACCAGCGGCGGCGUGUCGGACACGUACAACAGGUUGCCCCUGCAGUGGCGCGGCAGGAAGCUGCGGCCGGUCAUCUUGGAGAAGCGAGACACCUUGGCGAGGUGGCCCGGCAUGGGCGCCGCAGCAGAAGGAGAGCAAAUGGUCAGCGCCAGCCACCCGCCGCCAAUGCGGCCCGGGGGCGGCCCGACGCCGCCCACUGCAGCCGCCGUGAGCGCCGCCACCAUUCGCGGCGCACGAGACGCAAAUUUCGUGCACACGCUCUACGGCGCGGAGAGCGGCUGACCCUGGCCGCGGUGCCAGGUGAAUCUUUUCCCCAAACAUUGCUCCUAUUCUCUCUGCUAGCUACCUGAUGUGAUUUUUGAACAUGAUGUGUGCAGGUCUGAGGAAGAAGAGAAGAAGUAUCAAGACACCAAGGAUCUGAAGGCAGCGAGAAUUAAUGAAAAGAAAACUACUGUUCCAGCUCAUUAGCUCUACAACUACUGAUUAAGCAUCUCCAGAUUCAAGAGGAUAGGUACUUAUAGCAAAUCUGCACUACCGUCUAAAGUCUACACUUCGAUACUUUCACUAAGGCAUUACCUGUUUUCUAUCUCUUUAGGAGAACUGAAGCUUUCAUCACCAGAAAUGUGUCCUCUCUUAUGUUUUUUUUUUAUACUUUGUGUAGGAAUCAAUCAAAAUAUUUUGUAGAGCACUUGUUAUGUCUUGACAAAAAGAACAUUCGCAUUUCAGUUUGGUUGACUAGCUUCUUUAGGAGGCUCUGAAGGGAAGGCAAUAGACCUUGAUGAUACUAAAUUUCAUCAUUACGCCAUCAAGUAUAUUACAACAGAACUUGAGCAUAUCCAUUGUCCACUCUGCUAUAAGUUGUGUGCUAGGCUAGAUCGUAUAUUUUUUGGGUGGUGUUCUGAACUUCUGUUGGAUAUGGUGGUUGACUGCAUCAUUGAGGCAGAGGUGAUUAAGUGGUCUCCUGAUAGUAUAAAGAUUUGUUAGUAACCUGAGGCAGAGUUUUGUUGUCAAAGAGUUUUGCAGAGUUACAAUCUAUAAGGGAUUCAACACAUGGUUUCAGUGAUCCAUGUUGUGUACAGUUUGAUGAGUAAUGUAAUUGUUGUGUAGUAGUACAAUCAGACUAUUAGAUAUUGCCAGCAUUUUCUUGCCAUUUGGCGGUUCAAAGAAUUGAUAUUAGGGUAGUAGGUGAUAAUAAGACUUUUCAAUAAUCUACAAGUUAAAUAUGUAUUUAAUAAAGGGUCAUUGGUGUAGAGGAUGGGGCUUCCCCAUUUUUUUUAAUAUGUGAUUAUGCAUAAGAAAAAUUCAUCGGUCUAUUUUUUUGUUGUAAUUCGGCUGAAUGAUUCUUCCAAGAAAGAUGA